Callithrix jacchus (white-tufted-ear marmoset) is the source of this 279-nucleotide unclassified non-coding RNA. It matches the Rfam family "Metazoan signal recognition particle RNA". Rfam says of the family: The signal recognition particle (SRP) is a universally conserved ribonucleoprotein. It is involved in the co-translational targeting of proteins to membranes. The record is from Ensembl. Lineage: Eukaryota; Metazoa; Chordata; Mammalia; Primates; Cebidae.
GCUGGGCGCAGUGGCGUGUACCUGUGGUCCCAGCUACUUGGGAGGCUGAGGUGGGAGGAUCACUUAAGCCCAGGAGUUCUGGACUAUAGUGCGCUAUGCUGAUCGGGUGUCCGCACUAAGUCAUCAAUAUGGUGACCUCCCAGGUUGCCUAAGGAGGGGUGAACCGGCCCAGGUCGGAAACAGAGCAGGUCAAAACUCCCAUGCUGAUCAGUAGUGGGAUUGCGCCUGUGAAUAACCACUGCACUCCAGCCUGGGUAACAUAGCAAGACUCUGUCUCUU